This 118-nucleotide ribosomal RNA is filed under the name Lepisosteus oculatus (spotted gar). Lineage: Eukaryota; Metazoa; Chordata; Actinopteri; Semionotiformes; Lepisosteidae. The record is from RNAcentral.
AGCAGCAGCGUUACGGGCUUGUAGCUUGAUCUCGUCGGAUCGCAGAAGCGGAGCAAGGCUGCACCUGGUCAGUACUGGGAUGGGAGAUCUCUUAGGAAAAACCAGGUUGCUGCUGUAA